AGUGCGCCAGGAGCUUUAUUUAGUGGCGCUGAAACCCCACGGCCUGGAUCAGGACUCCUAAGCCGGUGUCCUUACCGACAGAGAGGACAAAAUCUUGUGAGCAGGCUCUGCCCUCCGGGAAAAGAGCCA
This 129-nucleotide small RNA is filed under the name Ursus maritimus (polar bear). RNAcentral's name for it is "sRNA (ENSUMAG00000012630.1)". Lineage: Eukaryota; Metazoa; Chordata; Mammalia; Carnivora; Ursidae. The record is from RNAcentral.